AUACAUCUUGAGCGAUGGCCACCUCAAUCAGUUAUGCAGUGUUCAUUGCUUCCAUGCUCUUAUGUCUCUCACGUCAUCUCCAGCACCAUUUGCAAAUGCAAGAGCAUCUCAAUUAGUUAGGAUUGUUUGCAAGCAAACCCAAGAACAAUUCGGCUACAACUAUAGGCAGUGCGUAAAAUCUCUCUGGAAAGAUAUUACAAUUAGAUCGGCAACUAAUCUCAAAGAUCUUGACAUAGCCGUUCUUAAAUUAGCAGCAGCAAAUGCAGCACAAACCAAAGCUACGUUUGAAAAAGCUUUAAAACGCCACCGACAAGAAUGCUAAUGGCACGACAGCUAUAAAGCAAUGUGUAGAUUCCUAUGAUUUUGCGUUAGGAGCGUUUCGUUUUCGCAGUGCGAGGGGUCAAUGACGGUGACAAAUCGGUCACCGAAAUCCUCACACAGGCCCAAGAUGACCUUGUUCGUUGCCAAAGAGCAUUGGCCUCUGUUGAAGUUCCGCUUCCUAUGCCAGUAUCGACGACGAACUUUUGGGUCAUGUUAUAUAGGGAUGUUGCAUUCCUUGUUUCUUCCCAGUUAUUCAAUAUCUAGAAAAAGAUAUGAGAAUAGUGUAUUGAAAUUUGAAAAUACACGCCUACCAAAGAAAUGUAUCUGUGAUUACUAUAAAUAAAAAGGAUAGAAAUUUGAAGAAAUGAAAAAAAUUUGAUAUGAAUAACGAAUAUCAACCAUUUAUUGUCAUUGUUGUGUUCCUCUUUAGUUUGGAUAUCUUAUCCGGCCUUCACUUUACUAUGCAUUGGCUUUAAGCGAAGUUGAAAUUAUGGUACAUGUAUUUUCAUUUAAAACUGACAUCCCCGUAUCAGUCCAAAUACAGGCUCUAACUUAUUUCAUUCACCAUUCGAUUCAUUCAACUUGUGUUUCUUUAUUCAAUGGGUGGGGAGAUUUGAACUUGAAACUUUUUUAAGCAUUUAGAAGACGACAACUAAUGCGCAUCCAAUUUUUUCCUCUAUGCACCCAUGUCUGUCUUAUAGCCCACAUUGUUUUAUGACCUUUCCUUAGACAAUUCGAAAAUAAUUAAAUAGUCUUCUAAGACUGCCUCCUUUGACUAAUGACAUUCUUUCCAAGUAUGCAAAAUCCUCGAUCAUGCUUCCUUGCUCUUUUGUUUCUCGUCGUCAGCAUCACCAUUUGCAAAUGCAAGAUCGUCUCAAUUGGUUAGGAGUGUUUGCAAGCAAACUCAAGAACAAUUCAGCUACAACUAUAGGCAGUGCCUAAAAUCUCUUUGGAAAAAUAUUCCAAUUAGAUCGGCAACUAAUCUAAAGCUCUUGACAUAGUCGUUCUUAAAUUAGCAGUAGCAAAUGCAGCACAAACCAAAGCUACGUUUGAAAAAGCUUUCAAUGUUAGACUUCAUGUGAAUGACAAUGAGAUAACAACUAGGUUUCUUGAAUCACGCGUAAAUUCGUUAUGCGAGUUGUGUGGUUGAAGGAGUCUGAGAUCCUUGAUAUAAUAGGAGUUAUGGAGUUUAAUUGUUGUGUAGCCAAAUUAACAGUAGUACUUGUAGGGUAAUCACUAAGAUAUAAGAGUCACGAUGGGACUUGAACUUGCUAUGAGGAUAGAGUUUAUCACCACUGCUGAUAAUUGGCCGAUAUGUGUGGAACUCUAAGAGGAUAAUUUGGUAUAUAUAUACAUAUUGGAAAAGUCCCUGCUUCCACACAAAAAAGACUCUCGGGAACUAAACCCUAUUUACUAGUAGAGGUCAUCACUGUGUGCUGGAAAUAGAAGACCGAUUCACUAGUUCAUUCAAUGGCAGCAACAUCAGGUAUGUCGCUCUUGCAGAUUAUAUAUAGGGUUGUGUAUUGAGGUUGUUCAUGGAUGUAGUCCUAUCACUACACUGAUUGAGUUGGUGGUUAGUAUGUUUAUGUUAAUGCUAACAUGUGGUAUCAAAGCCACUCAACGUGGCUAGGGUUCUUCAUUCCCGUUAAGGACUAUGAUAUAGUUUUGAUAAAUACAAAACCAAAUAUAAUCCUGGAAAAAUAUCGCUUCCGCUAUAUGUUCUUGCGUUAUCAACUUGAGACUUACCUAUCAAUUAAAAUAUGAUGACAAGCUACUUGGUGUUUCUCGAGUUGUGUUUGCUAUGUUUUGCAGGAAACCUAUUUCAUGUAGGUGAGGACAACGCUGAAAAAACCAGCAAUAACAGAAGACCUUUUGGAUUCAUAAUAUGCUUGUCAAUACUAAACUGACAAAUAUAAUAUGAAUCAUAAACAAGGAUUACAACAUCUAAUCUGCUCAAAAGUGUUUAGAUUGUUGUUGUUUUGGCUUGUUGACCAACUGAUUGGAUACGUGGUUUAUUCGUAUUAAGUGAAUAAUAAUCUGCUCAAAAGUGUUUAUUUAUUCAAGUCAAACAAGUAAAUCAAUGUAUAAUGAGUCAUCAAAUUGACAAGAUUACACUCUUCAUCUGCUCGAAAGUGUUGAAGUUGUGUAAAUUGCCCUUGUGUUUAAUGACUCAUUUAUACAAAUCUAAUAUAAAUGGUUUCUGUCUAAAGAUGAUACCAUGUUUAUAUGACUUUGGAUGGGGAAAUAUUGUAACAAUAGUUUUCCUUGUUUGAUAAAUUAGCUGCUGAAUAAUAUUGUUUUUGUGAUAUUCAUCAGCUCCUCACAUGACGUCUCUCAACUUCAACAAUAUAAAGACCUUGACUGGCUCCAACUUCAAGAAAUGGAAGGAGGAUGUUGAGAUUGUGCUCGGUCUCAUGGAUCUUGAUCUGGCACUAAGGGAAGAAAAAACCUCAAGCUAUCACUACCGAGAGUAUUGCAGAUGAAAAAUUAAGUCUAAAAUAUGGGAGAGGGUGAGUCGAAUGUCCAUGAUGAUCAUGAAGAAAGCAAUGGCUCAAUCGGUUAAAGGGGGAAUUCCUAAGACCGACAAUGCAAGGGAAUUCUUGGCUGCAGUAGGAUAGAAGUUCAAGGAGUUAGAAAAGGCAGAAACUGGGACCUUCCUUACACAAAUCACAUCAAUGAAGUACGAUGGUGUGGGAAGUGUCAAAAAGAACAUAUUGAAGAUGGUUGAUCUUGCUCAGAAACUGAAGGAUCUUGAGGUACCUAUGACCAACCAAUUUUUAGUCCACAUGGCUUUGAAUUCCCUACCUCCUAAAUAUGGGCAGCUCAAAGUCUCGUACAACACUCAAAACGAUAAAUGGGGUAUCGAUGAAUUGAUUUCAAUGUGUGCUCAAGAAGAUGAUCGACUCAAAAAGGACAAGGCAAUGGAUGUGAAUGUUGUGCAAGCGAAAAAACGCAAAAGGGACUCUACUUUUGGUUCAACCAUACCUGCUAGUAAGAAGAAGAAGAAAGAAAACUUUUCUUCAUUUAAAAGUACUAACCCCUUUAAAGGAUCUCACAAAAUUAAGCUUGUUAAUGCCGAGAUUGAGAAAGAAAAUGAAUGUUAUUUUCAUAAAGAGACAGGUCACUUAAGAAAGAAUUGCACAGGAUUAAAAAAAAAAUUGGCUUGUCACUAAAGGUAAUAUCAUAAACGUUUUUGUAUGUGUUGAGUCGAAUUUAGUUUUUUAUUCCCCCUCAAAGUUGGUGGUUUGAUACUGGCUGCUCCACUCACAUAACUAAUUCUUUGCAGGGAUUCUCAAAAACAAGGGAGAUAAACAAUGAAGUCUACAAUGUCUAUGUAGGAAAUGGGAGCAAAGUAGUUGAUGAAUCCAUGUCGAAUUAGUUCUUUCGUCCGGUUUUGUUUUAAAAUUGAGUCUGGUACUUUAUGUACCUUCCAUGAGAAGGAAUUUGAUUUCUGCAUCUAAGUUAGUUAAGUCAGGCUUUACCUUUGUUGGUGACGAUCAUUGUGUAAAGUUUUACCAUUCGCAUGAUAUUAAUAAAUUGCUUGGAAAAGCUUUUCUUGAAAUCGAUAUGGCAACUAGACUGUUCAUAUAAAAAAAUGAAUGUUUUAGUGUUCAAGUUGUUGUUGGUUCAAAAUUAUUGUCCACUUCUGAAAUAUCCUCAAUGCUUUGGCAUAAAAGGUUGGGACACAUAUCUAAAGAAAGAAUCAUCACCUUGUCAAAACAAAACAUGUUGCGACAACUUGACUUUAGUGACUUCAAAGAAUGUGUCGAUUGUUUCAAAGGAAAACUCACCAACACUAGAAAAUUAGGUUCAAAUCGUAGUCAAUCCCUGCUAGAAAUCAUACACAUUGACAUAUGUGGACCUUUUCCAAACAAAACCAUUUAUGGAAAAUCUUAUCUUAUUCCAUAUCCUUCAUUGAUGAUUUUUCACGUUAUGCAUAUGUUUAUCUCAUCUCGGAAAAAUCUGAAGCUUUGGAGUGUUUUAAAUCUUUUCAUUUAGAGGUUGAAAAAAAAAAAUUAAAAUUGUGAGAUCCAAUAGAGGUGGUGAGUAUUUUGGCAGGUACACUGAGGUUGGACAACACAAGGGGCCUUUUGCAACUUAUCUUGAACAAAAUGGCGUCGUAGCACAAUAUACCACCCUGAGGACUCCUCAACAAAAUGGGGUGGUAGAAAGAAGGAAUCGUACUCUCAAGGAUAUGAUAAGGUCUAUCUUUGCACACUCACAUCUUCCUAUUUUUCUUUGGGGAGAGGCGUUGAAAACAGCAACAUAUAUCUUGAACCGAGUCCUGAGCAAGUCUUGUCAACUUGGUGCCAUUUGAAUCAUGGACUAGAAGAAAACCGAGUUUUAACCACUUCCAUGUUUGGUGAUGUAAAGCUGAGGCAAGAUUCUACAACCCAAUAGAGAAGAAACUUGAUCCAAGAACUACAAGUUGUAGGUUCAUUGGAUAUUCUGAAAGAUCAAAAGGGUUUAAGUUUUAUUGCCCUAACAGUCAUUCCAGAAUUAUGGAGACACACAAAACUAAGUUUCUCGAGCAUUUGGAUGGGGAGGAUGACAGCUCUUCACAUUUCAUAUCAUCAAAUUUUGAAGAAUUGCCACAAGAAGGUGUGUUGCUUGAGCAGCAAGCAAUUAUCAUAAGCAUUCCUUUCGAAUCACCAGCAUUUCCUUCGACCAACAGUCUCCCCGAGUAACAAAUAAAAAGAAUGAUGAAUGAACAUCAACCUCCCCAUGAUGAAGAGCACGGUUCCAACACUGCAGACAUGGAGCAUGAAGAUAUUCAUGAUCAUAUAGAUGGCAUCGAUGUCACACUGAUUCAGACACUUGUGAGAAAGUCACAGCGAGUACGCAAGGCUGUUGCACUACCAGAUUUUGUGUGUGUCUUAAUGAAGCAUAAUAUAACGUAGGGGAUGAUGAUGUUCCUACAUCUUAUAAUCAAGCAAUCUCGAGUACAAAAAUCAAGGUUAUGGAAUGAAGCCAUGCAUGAAGAAUUAUAGUCUAUGGAGAAGAAUAAAGUGUGGACCUUAGUACCAAAACCGACGGGGGUUCACAAACUCGUAGGUUGCAAGUGGGUCUUUAAGACAAAGAGAGACUCCGAGAGUAAUAUUGAUAAAUAUAAAGCGAGAUUAGUGGCAAAAGGCUUUACAUAGAGAGAAUGAGUGGAUUACAACGAGACAUUUUCUCCUGUCUCAACCAAAGACUCCAUGAGAAUAAUAUUAGCCCUCACGGCUCAUUUUGAUUUAGGGCUUCAUCAGAUAGACGUUAAAAUAGCUUUUCUUAAUGGGGAUCUUGAAAAAGACAUAUACAUGAGUCAACUACCAGGAUUUGUUGAAAGGGGGAAAGAAUUGAUGGUUUGUAAGCUGAAUAAAUCUAUUUAUGGAUUAAAAUAGGCUUCGAGGCAAUGGAACAAAAAGUUUGAUAGUGUGAUGGAGAAGUCAGAAUUUCAAGAGAACAAACUGGAUGAGUGCGUGUACUUUAAAGUAUGUGGUACCAAGGUAAUAUUCCUGGUAUUGUAUGUAGACGAUAUAUUAAUGGCAAGCUCGGAUAUGUUUCUUUUACAGUCGACCAAGUGUAUGUUAGCUCAGCAUUUCGACAUGAAGGACUUGGGAGAGGCUCAAUUUGUUUUGGGGAUAGAAAUCAUUAGAGAUUGUGCCAAGAGAUCUCUUGGCCUUUCACAAAGACAAUAUAUUAAUAAGGUGAGUAAAAGAUUUUAACAUGGAUAAAUGUUCAAAUGGAGAGCUACCUAUUGGAAAAUGAGACAAGUUAACUUGCAAACAGUGUCCCAAGAAUGAUCUGGAGAAAGAAGGAAUGAAAGACAUUGUUAGCGCCUCUAGUAGGGAGCUUGAUGUAUACACAGGUAUGUACAAGACUGGAUUUAGCCUUUGCAGUGAGUGUAUUGGGCAGGUUUCAAUCAAAUCCUAGUGUAUCUCAUUAGGUUGCAGCUAAAAAGGUCUUGAGGUAUCUCAAAAGGACCAGGGAUUUUAUGUUGACAUAUAGUCAUGUGGACAAACUUGAGUUGGUGGCAUUCUCCGAUUCUGACUUUGCAGGAUGUAUAAAUGAUAAGAGAUCGACUAAUGGAUACAUUUUCCUGCUAGCUGAUGGGGCAGUUUCGUGGAAGAGUUCAAAGCAAAAGAGUAUUGCAUCUUCCAUGAUGGAGGUUGAAUUCAUAGGGUGUUAUGUAACGACUCAACAAGCCAUUUGGCUUUAAAAUAUGAUGAAGGGACUCGUGAUUAUUGACAGUAUUGAAAGGCCUCUCAAACUUUAUUGUCAUAAUACAGCUGCAAUCUUCUUUUCGAAGAAUAAUAAAAGGUCUUAGGCGAGCAGGUUAAUGGACAUAAAGUUUUUUAAAGUGAAAGAUGAAGUGAAGAAGGAGACUAUUGAUAUUAAGUAUAUCAACACAAGUUUGAUGGUUGCUGAUCCAAUGACAAAGGCCUUACCAAUGGGAGUCUUCAAGAGGCAUGUUUUUAACAUGGGAGUAAGAGAGUCUUUUGAUUCAGUUAAUGAGUGGGAGUAAGCACUCUAAAGACUGUGUUGAACUCGUUUUGUUUAGUUAUUUCUUUUGAUAUCAGUAGCCAGUUACAAUGCAAUGCAAUGAAUUAUUUGUUGUGUUUGGCUUAUACAUUUAUGAGUAAUUAUGAGUCAUGUGUUGACAACAAUUGAAGACAUGGUGACUACCACAAGCAAAGUUGGAAGCACGCAAGACUUAACCUUAUGUUUUUCUUGCACACAAUUGUGCAUGUUUUUUCUCUUCUAUGCAUUAAAUGACAAAUGGAGAAAAGUUGUACUUUAUAGACUAGGUAUAGACUUUGGUGCAUGCUAGGUAGGUUAGGUAAUAAUUAUGUCAUGUGAACUUAAGACUUUUUGGUCUUGGUUGUUGGCAUAGUUGCUAGUGUAUCCCUAUAACUAGAUGCAAUAUUUGUGCAUUUAGUAAUGCUUAGAAAGUGGGAAUGUAAGCAUCAUAGAAGCAUCCAAGGGGAGAGCAUCCGGCUCUUACAUGGGAAAGGUUGAACAUGGGUUAAGAGAAAAUCAUGAGAGCUAGAGUGAAAAGUAUUCUAGUAAAAGAACUCUUAGGGUAGAGUGAUGCUUUUGGGAAAAUUCUAUGAGUGGGUGUGCAAGGGAUUCGGGAUUGAGUUAUGUUGAUUUAAUUCAUGUGUACUUGUACUGUUAUUCAUAGUGAAGAGCAAUAUCUCUUCGGGGACGUAGGCAUGAUUUUUACCGAACCUCGUAAAUUUCUCAGUGUCUUUAUUUCUUGUAUUUUACUUUAUUCAACUGAGUGUGAUUUGGUGAGGUUGUAAUCUGAAUCUCGUUUCCGCACUAACGAAUGGGCCAAGGCACAACAAUUGGUAUCAGAGCAUCGUUGGACGCUUGGUUCGUUGGAGGUCCAGAUUUGUUGUUCACCAUGGAAUUUUCAGUUGAGCAGUUUAAUGGGAAAGGCAGUUUUACUCUUGGUAAAAGAGAGUAAUGGAAGCCUGAAGAAAUGGAAGCCAUGUUUAGGGAUGCUUGGAUCAACUGCGAAAGUUGAUGUUGAGGAAGAAGAAAAAUGCCUCUUUCUUCUUACCUCACUUUCAAAUUCGUAUGAGAACCUUGUGAAACUUUACUGCAUGGAAAGAUACAGUAAGUUUGGAGCAGGUCCAAGCUUCUUUGGUGUGGAAUCAUACACAAAGAAGACCAUGGAUAAUGGUGGGCACGAGACUGCUUAAGCUAUUCAAGGUUGGAAUCGUGGAAGGAAAUUGGAAAGAGGAUCUGAGAGAGACAACAGGUUCAGAUCCGGUUCCGGAGGUAAGGGUCCACAGUGCUACGAUGCAAGGCCGGGUUUGUAACAAGUUUGUGGCAUAAGGCUUCGAGUAUACCCUCUAGGUACUCAAGUAACACUUCUCCUAGUAAUGUUUAGUCUCAACUGUUGCAGGGUUUUGCAGCAGGUAGAACUAUGGGAUUCAUAAGUGAUGAGAUGGUCCUGAGGUAUGAGGAAGUGUGGGAAUUUUGUCUGGCUCAAUGGGUUGUUGCUGGAAACGGGCGCGCUGACGAGUUUCCAGGUUGCAGACAAUGAAGAUGAGGAAAACCUGUUGAAGGAGACGAGGGUGUGUCGAGAUCCUAUCUGAAGCUAAAUGGUGAAUUUUAGCUUGCAGCAGCUGCACAUGCAUUGGCAGUGACUGAAUCGGAACAAGACCAACGAGGUGGAUUCAGGGUGUGUAUGCUGGUACGUAAGGCCAAUGGGCUUUGGUGAUGGGUGCAAGGAUUUUUGCAUGGUGUAUUCGCCAAGGUAGAGAUUGUUGCGUUUGGCUCAUACAUUUGUGAGUAAUUAUGAGUCAUGUGUUGACAACAAUUGAAGACAUGGUGAUUGCCACAAGCAAAGUUGGAAGCAAGCAAGACUUGACCUUGUGUUUGCUUGCACACAAUUGUGCAUGUUUUCUCUUCUAUGCAUUAAAUGAUAAAUGGAAGUUGUACUUUAUAGACUAGGUAUAAGACUUUGGUGCAUGCUAGGUAGGCUAGGUAAUAAUUAUGUCAUGAGAACUUAAGACUUUUUGGUCUUGGUUGUUGGCAUAGUUGCUAGUGUACGCCUAUAACUAGAUACAAUAUUUGUGCAUUUAGUAAUGCUUAGAAAGUGGGAUUGUAAGUAUUAUAGAAGCAUCCAAGGGGAGAGGAUCCGGCUCUUCCAUGGGAAAGGUUGAACAUGGGUUGAGAGAAUCAAGAGAGCUAGAGUGAAAAGUAUUCUAGUGAAAGAACUCUUGGAGUAGAGUGAUGCUUUUGGGAAAAUUCUAUGAGUGGGUGUGCAAGGGAUUUGGAAUUGAGUUAUGUUGAUUUAAUUCAUGUGUACUUGUACUAUUAUUCAUAGUGAAGAGCAAUAUCUCUCCGGGGACGUAGGCAGGAUUUUUGCCGAACCUCGUAAAUUUCUUGGUGUCUUUAUUUCUUGUAUUUUAUUCUAUUCAACUGAGUGUGAUUUGGUGAGGUUGUAAUAUGAAUCUCGUUUCCGCACUAACGAACGGGCCAAGGCACAACAUUAUUAUUAUUGUUUUGAUAAUCUGUGCAUUUUUUUGUCAUUCCAAACAGUUUCGGUACUGAAAGUAACUUUUCAAUUUGUUUUAAGGAACCAACUUUUUGUUUGUUGGUUCUCAACAACAUCGUAAUUCUGGUAGAAACUCAGUGUUUCAUGAUAAAUGUGCAUGUAACUAUAGAGUAUCAAGUAUAUGUUAUUCGUACUUAGGAUUUCUAUGGUUCUGCAUUUUUCUUGAAAUGAUAGGUUACUAAUUAUGGUGGCUGCAAGCUUUUGUAAACUCAAUGAUCAUCAUGAUUCUUGUUAUAUUGAGGAAUAUCAUUGACAUUCAAGUGGAAGAAUGUUAGACUUCAUGUGAAUGACAAUGAGAUAACAACUACGUUUCUUGAAUCACACGUAAAUUCAUUGUACGAAUUGUGUGGUUGAAGGAGUCUGAGAUCCUUGAUAUAAUAGGAGUUGUGGAGUUUAGUUGUUGUGUAGCCAAAUUAACAGGAGUACUUGUAGGGUAUUCACUAAGAUAUAAGAGUCACGAUGGGACUUGAACUUGCUAUGAGGAUAGAGUAUAUCACCACUGUUGAUAAUAGGCCGGUAUGUGUUAUGAGAGGAUAAUUUGGUGUGUGUGUGUGUGUGUAUAUAUAUAUAUACAUAUUGGAAAAGUCCCUACUUCCACACAAAAAAGACUCUCGAGAACUAAACCCUAUUUACUAGUAGAGGUCAUCAUUGUGUGCUGGAAGUAGAAGACUGAUAACAUCAGGUAAGUCGCUCUUGCAGAUUAUAUAUAGGGUUGUGUAUUGAGGUUGUUCAUGGAUGUAGUCCUAUCACUACGUUGAUCGAGUUGGUGGUUGGUAUGUUUAUGUUAAUGCUAACAUUCAACGCCACAGACAAGAAUGCUAAUGGCACGACAGCUAUAAAGCAGUGUGUAGAUUCGUAUGAUAUUGCUAUAGGAGCGUUCGUUUUCGUAGUGCAAGGGGUCAAUAACGGUGACAAAUCGGUCACCGAAAUCCUCACACAGGCCCAAGAUGACCUUGUUCGUUGCCCAAGAGCAUUGGCCUCUGUUGAAGUUCUGCUUCCUAUGCCAGUAUCGACGACGAACUUUUGGGUCAUGUUAUAUAGGGAUGUUGCAUUCCUUGUUACUUCCCAGUUAUUCAAUAUCUAGAAAAUAUGAGAACAGUGUUUUAAAAUUUGAACAUUUAUGCGUACAAAAGAAAUGUAUAUGUGAUUACUAUAAAUAAAAAGGAUAGAAAUUUGAAGAAAUGAUUUUGAUAUGAAUAACGAAUAUUGGCCGUUUACUAUCAUUGUUUUGUUCCUCUUUAGUUUGGAUUUCUUAUCAUGCAUUCACUUUACUAUGCAUUGACUUUAACGAAGAUGAAAUUAUGGUAUAUGUAUUUUCAUUAAAACUUAACAUCCCCGUAUCAGUCCAAAUACAAGCUCUAACUUAUUUCAUUCACCAUUCUAUUCAUCCAACUUGUGUUUCUUUAUUCAAUGGGUGGGGAGAUUUGAACUUGAAACCUUUUUAAGCAUUUGGAAAGACAACAACUAAUGCGCAUCCAAUUUUUUCUUCUAUGCACACAUGUCUAUCUUAUAGCCCACUUAGUUUUAUGACCUUUCCUUAGACAAUCCAAAAUAAUUCAAUAGUCUUCUAAGACUGCCUCCUUUGACUAAUGACAUUCUUUUCAAGAAAGCAAAAUCCUCGAUCAUCAUAUGAUUACGAAGAGAUUGCUCGAGUCGCUCUUGAGUUAGCAGCAACGAAUACAAAAGAUAGGCACAUCUUUAUUUUUUUUUUUGAAGGAUAAUAGGCACAUCUUUAUAAACAUUUCAUCAAGAGGGAUUCGAGGGAGCCUAUUUAACAAUAUCAGUUUUGGUACCGCGCGGUGCGGGUUUUAUUCUAGUGCAUACAUGAGGACAAGGAUAGGCCUGGGCCUCUGCAUCAUUUUCUUUAUUUUGUAUGCUUUAGCUUGAGUUUGUUAUUCUUUAAUUUCUGUUUGUGUGCUUUCCAUUGAGCACGAUGUAGUUAAAUCACCAGUUUGCAUGCAUAGUGUUGUUUAAAAUGUUUAUAUUGAAAAAAAAAAUUCACAUUUGCAUUUUUGAGCCAUGAUCUAUAAUGCUUGUUCAACUUCGACGUAGUAAUUGUUCCUUUUUAGCAAAACUUUUGAACAAGUUCAGUGCUUAUACCUUAUUGUCUUGGUGUUAAAUUAUUAUUUUUGUGACUUCGUUGCUCUCCUUUGAUUCAAAUUUCCAUUCCUACACAAAAGUUAACCCUCAAAUCUUCUCUCAUUGAUCAUAUUAUUUUUAAUCUAAUUUUUGUCACAUGGCCUGGAGGAUCCUCCUAACUUCGAUUUUUGGUUCAGCCACUGCUUCAUUAAAUAACUAAAUAUGAAGACAAACUACGAGCAUCCUGUGACUAGGCCUGGCAAACGGGUCGUGUCAGUCGUGUUCGUGUCGUUUUCGUGUAACACCUGUUAGCUUAACGGGUCGUGUCGUGUCACACCCGUUAUCUUAACGGGUCCUUGGGUAAAGUGACCCGACCCGUUAUGACCCGUUAAGAAAAAUAUAUUUUUUUUCUUAAAUUUGCACAUACCACACAUUGCCACAUAAAUAUUACUUCAAAAUAUUAAAACACAUUUGUCGUUUAAGUACUACAUAUACACUCGAAAAUAAGAGCCUAAUAAAAAAAUAAUACAUACACUACUAAUCUAUUACAAAUUUUAAAUGUGCAAGGAUAUGCAAAAUGAAACAGUUUUUGUUUUCAAGGUUGUGAAAUCUUUCUCAAAAGUUUAAACCUCAAUUUACAAAAUCCUCGAUUUACAUCGAUCAUCAUGAAAUUGCAUUGGAACUUUGGCUUGAUCUAUUGCCUUCAAGAGUUAUGUUGAUGAUGUUUUCAGUAAGGUUUUCCACGUCAUAACUAUCUUCUGCAUAAACUAAGCAUAGAAAAACCAAAACAUUAAAAAUCAUUCAAAAUUAUGAGAAGUUUACCAAAAUAAUUAUGAAAAAAAAAUAAAACAAUAGUACUAUACCAUACUUUUAUUAAGUAUAAACAUAAGAUUUUGUGGUAUCCACUAGUGUAAAUAUUUUAAAUUGAAGAUCGAAUUCAAUCAUUGUAUUCAUAUAAGGUCAAGGAGUGUAGUUAUAAAAAAUCAUCAAAAUCGGAGUUAAAUUAAUAGUUAAAUCGUGAUUUUUCGUUUAUAACCGUUGAAAAGUUUUGUCUCGUUACGUGCUCUCUGAAUGUUUGUUUGUUGCAAUUUUUGGCGUAUGAGAUCUUGAAAUAUAUACAAACAUGUUUGAUGGUUGGAUCAUUGAAACUAGUUUCGUAGAAUGAGUAUCAUAUCAAAACAAUAGAUUCACUAAUACUUAAGAGUUUAUUCAUACUUUUAUUAAGUAUAACAUAAGAUUUUGUGGUUUCCACUAGUGUAAAUAUUUUAAAUUGAAGAUCGAAUUCAAUCACUGUAUUCAUAUAGGGUCAAGGAGUGUAGUUGUAAAAAAUCAUCAAAAUCGGAGUUAAAAUGACCGUUAAAUCGUGAUUUUUCGUUUAUAACCGUCGAAAAGUUUUGUCCCAUUACUUGAUCUCUGAAUGUUUGUUUUUAGCAAUUUUUGGCGUAUGCAAUCUCGAAGUGUAUAUAAACAUGUUUGACGGUUGGAUCAUUAAAACUAGUUUCGUAGAAUGAGUAUCCCAUCAAAACAAUAGAUUCACUAAUACUUAAUAGUUUAUUCAUACUUUUAUUAAGUAUAGUAUAUAAGAUUUUGUGGUAUCCACUAGUGUAAAUAUUUUAAAUUGAAGAUCGAAUUCAAAUCAUUGUAUUCAUAUAGGGUCAAGGAGUGUGGUUGUAAAAAAACAUCAAAAAUCGGAGUUAAAAUGACCGUUAAAUCGUGAUUUUUCGUUUAUAACCGUCGAAAAGUUUUUGUCCCGUUACUUGAUCUCUAAAUGUUUGUUUUUUGUAAUUUUUGACGUAUGCGAUCUUGAAGUAUAUACAAACAUGUUUGACGGUUAGAUCUUUGAAACUAGUUUCGUAGAAUGAGUAUCCCAUCAAAACAAUAGAUUCACUAAUACGUAAUAGUUUAUUCAUACUUUUAUUAAGUAUAAUAUAAGAUUUUGUGGUUUCCACUAGUGUAAAUAUUUUUAAAUUGAAGAUCGAAUUCAAUCAUUGUAUUCAUAUAAGGUCAAGGAGUGUAGCUGCAAAAAAAUCAUCAAAAAUCAGAGUUAAAAUGACCGUUAAAUCGUGAUUUUUCUUUUUACAACCGUCGAAAAUUUUUGUCCCGUUAAUUGAUCUCGAAAUGUUUGUUUUUUGUAAUUUUUGACGUAUGCGAUCUCGAAGUAUAGACAAACAUGUUUGACGGUUGGAUCUUUGAAACUAGUUUCGUAGAAUGAGUAUCCCAUCAAAACAAUAUAUUCACUAAUACUUAAUAGUUUAUUCAUACUUUUAUUAAGUAUAACAUAAGAUUUUGUGGUAUCCACUAGUGUAAAUAUUUUAAAUUGAAGAUCGAAUUCAAUCAUUGUAUUCAUAUAGGGUCAAGGAGUGUGGUUGUAAAAAAUCAUCAAAAUCGGAGUUAAAAUGACCGUUAAAUCGUGAUUUUUCGUUUAUAACCGUCAAAAAGUUUUGUCCCGUUACUUGCUCUCUGAAUGUUUGUUUUUUUAAUUUUUAGCGUAUGCGAUCUCGAAGUAUAUACAAACAUGUUUGACGGUUGGAUCGUUGAAAUUAGUUUCGUAUAAUUCGUAUCCCAUGAAGUUCAAUGGUGUGUGUGUGUAUAUAUAUAUUUAUUUAUUAAGUAGAUUUAAAUCUAUUUGUUUUGUAUGUAUAAUUAUUAAAGUUUUUAGGGGUAUAAAAUUUAAUAUAUAUAUAUAUAUAUAUAAUUAUUAUAGUUAAUAUUUUGGGUAUAAUUAUUAUAGUAUAUAUAAUUAUUAUAAUUAUUAUAGUUAAUUUAAUAUAUAUAUAUAUAUAUAAUUAUUAUAGUAUUUUCUUAGGGUUAUAAAUUAUUAAAUUAAUAUUCUGCUUAUCGUGUAUCGUGUUACCCACGUGUAUACCCGAACAAACCCGUUAUCUUAACAGGUGCUUAUCGGGUUACCCAAUAACGACCUGUUUCGUUAUCGUGUCGACCCGAACACCUGUUAAUUUCGUGUCGUGUCGUGUCGGGUUAUCGGGUCGUGUCAGGAAUUGCCAGGCCUACCUGUGACGACCAAAUUUAAAGUCAAAAUUGCGGACGAUGGUGCGAGUAACAAUCACUGCGUUGAGAUCUAGAGAGGUUAAAUUACACGAUAUAUGUACCAAAAACCACAAUGUCCAAUUGUAUUGUUAGGAUUGGAAUUGUAGAAACCAUGAAGUCCAGCUUCUGUUGUUUUUUAGUUCAAACAAAAAUCACUAGAAGAAUUGGUUAAAGCAAGUAAUUUCCUUCCAACGGUUUAUUACGUAACAGAAAAACAAAAACAAAAGGUACAGCAGACUGGACUCCUAAAUUUAGACCUAUACCCUUCUUGGGUUGCUUAUAUAUAUCAUACUCUAUGCAUUAAUUUCUUAACCCCAAGCAAAUAAUUUGUAAUCACGUUAGCUUCAAUUUAAAAACAUACAUCUUGAGCAAUGGCCACCUCAAUCAGUUAUGCAGUAUUCAUUGCUUCCUUGCUCUUAUGUCUCUCGUCGUCUCCAGCACCAUUUGCAAAUGCAAGAGCAUCUCAAUUAGUUAGGAGUGUUUGCAAGCAAACCCAAGAACAAUUCAGCUACAACUAUAGGCAGUGCGUAAAAUCUCUUUGGAAAGAUAUUCCAAUUAGAUCGGCAACUAAUCUCAAAGAUCUUGACAUAGCCGUUCUUAAAUUAGCAGCAGCAAAUGCAGCACAAACCAAAGCUACGUUUGAAAAAGCUUUAAACACCACCGACAAGAAUGCUAAUGGCAC
Molecule: long non-coding RNA, 15185 nt
Filed under: Malus domestica (apple)
Lineage: Eukaryota; Viridiplantae; Streptophyta; Magnoliopsida; Rosales; Rosaceae
Description: long non-coding RNA (MDOM_LNC002728)
Source: RNAcentral